GACUUCUGGUUUAAUGCACCUGGCCCGCGGCUCUUUAGGCUUGUGAGAUUUACUUUGAAAAAAUUAGAGUGUUUAAAGCAGGCUAUUUGCUAUGAAUUACAUUAGCAUGGAAUCAUAAUCUAGGACUUCGGUUCUAUUAGAACUGAAGUAAUGAUUGAUAUGGAUAGUUGGGGGUGCUAGGAUUGGCCGGUCAGAGGUCAAGACCAACUUAUGCGAAAGCAUUCACCAAGGAUGUCUUCUUCUGUCUCUUAU
This 252-nucleotide ribosomal RNA is filed under the name uncultured Rhogostoma. RNAcentral's name for it is "partial 18S ribosomal RNA". The stretch from base 41 to 242 matches the Rfam family "Eukaryotic small subunit ribosomal RNA", at positions 743 to 974 of the family's 1831-position model. The record is from RNAcentral. Lineage: Eukaryota; Cercozoa; Thecofilosea; Cryomonadida.